Molecule: ribosomal RNA, 1064 nt
Filed under: uncultured eukaryote
Lineage: Eukaryota
Description: SSU rRNA
Rfam family: Eukaryotic small subunit ribosomal RNA
Source: RNAcentral
CGGUAAUUCCAGCUCCACUGGCGUAUAUUAACGUUGCUGCAGUUAAAGAGCUCGUAGUUGGAUGUGUGGAGGCCGGGAGGCGGCGAGGCCAAGCGUUUCGCAAGCAGACCGGCAGCCAUUAGCCUUUCAAGAUUUGCGGGCAUUGAGUUGUCUGCUGAUUGUCGAGAGGCCAUUUACUGUGAGAAAAGGAGAGUGUUCAAAGCGGGCGAAAGCUGGAAUACAUUAGCGUGGGAUGAUGAGAUAGAACAGAGGUUUUAUUUCGUUGGUUUAUGAGCCUUUGUGAUGAUAUAGAGGGGCAGUUGGGGGUAUUCAUACUUGCCAGUCAGAGGUGAAAUUCUUGGAUUUGGCAAAGAUGGACUGGUGCGAAAGCAUUUACCAAGGAUGUUCUCGCUAAUCAAGAACGAAAGUUAGGGGAUCGAAGAGGAUUAGAUACCCUCGUAGUCCUAACCGUAAACGAUGCCGACUCGGGAUUGGGCACUGUUGUUUGAGACGUGCUCAGGACCGUUCGAGAAAUCAAAGUCUUUGGGUUCCGGGGGGAGUAUGGUCGCAAGGCUGAAACUUAAAGGAAUUGACGGAAGGGCACCACCAGGAGUGGAGCCUGCGGCUUAAUUUGACUCAACACGGGGAAACUUACCAGGUCCGGACAUGAGAAGGAUUGACAGAUUGAGAGUUCUUUCUUGAUUUCAUGGGUGGUGGUGCAUGGCCGUUCUUAGUUGGUGGAGCGAUUUGUCUGGUUAAUUCCGUUAACGAACGAGACCUCCGCCUGCUAAAUAGGUGCUGCAAUUCUGAGAUUGUAGCAGCUUCUUAGAGGGACUUUGGGCGUUUAGCCCGAGGAAGUUGGAGGCAAUAACAGGUCUGUGAUGCCCUUAGAUGUCCUGGGCUGCACGCGCGCUACACUGAUGCGUUCAGAGAGCGAUCCUUGGCUGACAAGUCACGGGAAAUCUCGAAAGCGUAUCGUGAUGGGGAUAGAUGAUUGGAAUUAUUCAUCUUGAACGAGGAAUUCCUAGUAAACGCGAGUCAUCAGCUCGCAUUGAUUACGUCCCUGCCCCUUGUACACACCGCCC